GAAAUGCGAUAAGUAAUGUGAAUUGCAGAAUUCAGUGAAUCAUCGAAUCUUUGAACGCACAUUGCGCCCGCCAGUAUUCUGGCGGGCAUGCCUGUUCGAGCGUCAUUACAACCCUCAGGCCCCCGGGCCUGGCGUUGGGGAUCGGCGGAAGCCCCCUGCGGGCACAACGCCGUCCCCCAAAUACAGUGGCGGUCCCGCCGCAGCUUCCAUUGCGUAGUAGCUAACACCUCGCAACUGGAGAGCGGCGCGGCCACGCCGUAAAACAUCCAACUUCUGAAUGUUGACCUCGAAUCAGGUAGGAAUACCCGCUGAACUUAAGC
This 320-nucleotide unclassified non-coding RNA is filed under the name plant metagenome. RNAcentral describes it as "partial contains 5.8S ribosomal RNA, internal transcribed spacer 2, and large subunit ribosomal RNA". The stretch from base 1 to 105 matches the Rfam family "5.8S ribosomal RNA", at positions 50 to 154 of the family's 154-position model. The record is from RNAcentral.